GCCCUUACUCCUCGGGAGCAGCAGUUGGAAUAUUUGCAAUGGGGGAAACCCUGACGCAGGACGCCGCUGGGUGAUGAAGGCUUCGGGUCGUAAAGCCCUUCAGGCAGGACGAAUGUCGAUUGGGUUAAUAGCCUAGUCGGUUGACGGUACUUCCAGAGGAAGCCCCGGCUAACUCCGUGCCAGCAGCCGCGGUAAUACGGGGGGGGCAAGCGUUGUUCGGAUUUAUUGGGCGUAAAGGGCGUGUAGGCGGCCGAAUAAGUCAGAUGUGAAAGCCCUUGGCUUAACCAGGGAAGUGCGUCUGAUACUGUUUGGCUUGAGUGCGGGAGAGGAGAGUGGAAUUCCCGGUGUAGCGGUGAAAUGCGUAGAUAUCGGGAAGAACACCGGUGGCGAAGGCGGCUCUCUGGACCGUUACUGACGCUGAGACGCGAAAGCUAGGGGAGCAAACGGGAUUAGAUACCCCGGUAGUCCUAGCCGUAAACGAUGGGCACUAGGUGUAGGGGGUGUCGACCCCUCCUGUGCCGCAGCUAACGCAUUAAGUGCGCCGCCUGGGGAGUAUGGUCGCAAGGCUG
RNAcentral lists this ribosomal RNA (569 nucleotides) under uncultured bacterium. RNAcentral's name for it is "bacterial SSU rRNA". It matches the Rfam family "Bacterial small subunit ribosomal RNA", at positions 329 to 896 of the family's 1533-position model. The record is from RNAcentral.